UACGUAGGGUGCGAGCGUUGUCCGGAAUUACUGGGCGUAAAGAGCUCGUAGGCGGUUUGUCGCGUUGUUCGUGAAAUCUCACGGCUUAACUGUGAGCGUGCGGGCGAUACGGGCAGACUAGAGUACUGCAGGGGAGACUGGAAUUCCUGGUGUGGCGGUGGAAUGCGCAGAUAUCAGGAGGAACACCGGUGGCGAAGGCGGGUCUCUGGGCAGUAACUGACGCUGAGGAGCGAAAGCGUGGGGAGCGAACAGG
RNAcentral lists this ribosomal RNA (253 nucleotides) under uncultured bacterium. RNAcentral describes it as "partial 16S ribosomal RNA". It matches the Rfam family "Bacterial small subunit ribosomal RNA", at positions 524 to 776 of the family's 1533-position model. The record is from RNAcentral.